Non-coding RNA from Xylaria telfairii, 100 nucleotides. The record is from the annotation of a GenBank genome assembly. NCBI's taxonomy places the organism in Eukaryota, Fungi, Ascomycota, Sordariomycetes, Xylariales, Xylariaceae.
GGUCCCAUAACUCAGUUGGUUAGAGUGUCGUACUAAUAUUAUGAUUGCGUCGUAACAUUGGCAAAUGCGAAAGUCGUGAGUUCAAGCCUCACUGGGACCA